This 25-nucleotide non-coding RNA is filed under the name Mus musculus (house mouse). The record is from RNAcentral. Lineage: Eukaryota; Metazoa; Chordata; Mammalia; Rodentia; Muridae.
UAAAUGAGAAAUUGACAGCCCUUGA